Molecule: ribosomal RNA, 239 nt
Filed under: uncultured bacterium
Lineage: Bacteria
Description: partial 16S ribosomal RNA
Rfam family: Bacterial small subunit ribosomal RNA
Source: RNAcentral
GAUCCUGGCUCCGGAUGAACGCUGGCGGCGUGCUUAACACAUGCAAGUCGAGCGAAGCGCUUUUGCGGAUUUCUUCGGAUUGAAGCAACUGUGACUGAGCGGCGGACGGGUGAGUAACGCGUGGGUAACCUACCUCAUACAGGGGGAUAACAGUUGGAAACGGCUGCUAAUACCGCAUAAGCGCACAGUACCGCAUGGUACCGCGUGAAAAACUCCGGUGGUAUGAGAUGGACCCGCGU